UGGGGAAUUUUGCGCAAUGGGCGAAAGCCUGACGCAGCAACGCCGUGUGGAGGAUGAAGGCCUUCGGGUCGUAAACUCCUGCCAGCGGGGACGAAAGCCUGAAAGGGUUUGACUGUACCCGCUGAGGAAGCCACGGCUAACUCCGUGCCAGCAGCCGCGGUAAUACGGAGGUGGCAAGCGUUGUUCGGAAUUACUGGGCGUAAAGGGCGCGUAGGCGGCAAGGCAAGUCAGAUGUGAAAGCCCCGGGCUUAACUCGGGAAUUGCAUCUGAAACUGCUUUGCUUGAGUCCUGGAGGGGGUAGUGGAAUUCCCAGUGUAGCGGUGAAAUGCGUAGAUAUUGGGAGGAACACCGGUGGCGAAGGCGGCUACCUGGACAGUGACUGACGCUGAGGCGCGAAAGCUAGGGGAGCAAACGGGAUUAGAUACCCCGGUAGUCCUAGCUGUAAACGAUGGGCACUUGGUGUU
RNAcentral lists this ribosomal RNA (464 nucleotides) under uncultured Acidobacteriota bacterium. RNAcentral's name for it is "bacterial SSU rRNA". It matches the Rfam family "Bacterial small subunit ribosomal RNA", at positions 355 to 824 of the family's 1533-position model. Lineage: Bacteria; Pseudomonadati; Acidobacteriota. The record is from RNAcentral.